AUUGAACGCUGGCGGCAUGCUUUACACAUGCAAGUCGAACGGUAACAGGCCUUCGGGUGCUGCCGAGUGGCGAACGGGUGAGUAAUGCAUCGGAACGUGCCCAGGGGUGGGGGAUAACGCAGCGAAAGCUGUGCUAAUACCGCAUGUGAUCUGAGGAUGAAAGCGGGGGACCAAGCAGCAAUGUUUGGCCUCGCGCCUCUGGAGCGGCCGAUGUCAGAUUAGGUAGUUGGUGGGGUAAAGGCCUACCAAGCCGACGAUCUGUAGCUGGUCUGAGAGGACGACCAGCCACACUGGGACUGAGACACGGCCCAGACUCCUACGGGAGGCAGCAGUGGGGAAUUUUGGACAAUGGGCGCAAGCCUGAUCCAGCAAUGCCGCGUGCGGGAAGAAGGCCUUCGGGUUGUAAACCGCUUUUGUACGGAACGAAAAGGCUCUGGCUAAUACCUGGGGCUGAUGACGGUACCGGAAGAAUAAGCACCGGCUAACUACGUG
This 492-nucleotide ribosomal RNA is filed under the name uncultured bacterium. Its description in RNAcentral is "partial 16S ribosomal RNA". It matches the Rfam family "Bacterial small subunit ribosomal RNA", at positions 29 to 507 of the family's 1533-position model. The record is from RNAcentral.